Molecule: ribosomal RNA, 506 nt
Filed under: uncultured bacterium
Lineage: Bacteria
Description: partial 16S ribosomal RNA
Rfam family: Bacterial small subunit ribosomal RNA
Source: RNAcentral
AUUGAACGCUGGCGGCAGGCUUAACACAUGCAAGUCGAGCGGUAACAGAGAGAAGCUUGCUUCUCUGCUGACGAGCGGCGGACGGGUGAGUAAUGCCUAGGAAUCUGCCUAGUAGUGGGGGAUAACUUGCCGAAAGGUAAGCUAAUACCGCAUGCGUCCUACGGGAGAAAGGAGGGGACCUUCGGGCCUUUCGCUAUUAGAUGAGCCUAGGUCGGAUUAGUUAGUUGGUGAGGUAAUGGCUCACCAAGACCGCGAUCCGUAACUGGUCUGAGAGGAUGAUCAGUCACACUGGAACUGAGACACGGUCCAGACUCCUACGGGAGGCAGCGGUGGGGAAUAUUGGACAAUGGGGGGAACCCUGAUCCAGCCAUGCCGCGUGUGUGAAGAAGGUCUUAGGAUUGUAAAGCACUUUAAGUUGGGAGGAAGAGCAGUUAACUAAUAUUUGACUGUUUUGACGUUACCGACAGAAUAAGCACCGGCUAACUUCGUGCCAGCAGCCGCCGUAA